RNAcentral lists this ribosomal RNA (504 nucleotides) under uncultured bacterium. Its description in RNAcentral is "partial 16S ribosomal RNA". It matches the Rfam family "Bacterial small subunit ribosomal RNA", at positions 899 to 1397 of the family's 1533-position model. The record is from RNAcentral.
ACUCAAAGGAAUAGACGGGGGCUCACACAAGCGGUGGAGCAUGUGGCUUAAUUCGAGGCUACGCGCAGAACCUUAUCCUGGGCUUGACAUGCACGGAUUAGCCGGCGGAAACGUCGGCGAGGCCGCAAGGUACAACGUGCACAGGUGCUGCAUGGCUGUCGUCAGCUCGUGUCGUGAGAUGUUGGGUUAAGUCCCGUAACGAGCGCAACCCCUGUGAUUAGUUGCCAACGCGUCAUGGCGGGGACUCUAAUCAGACCGCCGGCGUCAAGCCGGAGGAAGGCGGGGAUGACGUCAAGUCCUCAUGGCCCUUAUGCCCAGGGCUGCACACGUGCUACAAUGGGGCGGACAGAGCGACGCUAAUCCGCAAGGCUACGCCAAUCGCAAAAACCGCCCCCCAGUUCGGAUUGCGGGCUGCAACCCGCCCGCAUGAAGCCGGAAUCGCUAGUAAUCGCGGAUCAGCACGCCGCGGUGAAUGUGUUCCUGAGCCUUGCACACACCGCCCGU